GACGAACCGUGCGAACGUUAUUCGGAAUCACUGGGCUUAAAGGGAGCGUAGGCGGGCUAUCAAGUCUGGGGUGAAAUCCCACGGCUCAACCGUGGAACUGCCUUAGAUACUGACGGCCUCGAGGGAGAUAGGGGCAUGCGGAACUGUAGGUGGAGCGGUGAAAUGCGUUGAUAUCUACAGGAACUCCGGUGGCGAAAGCGGCGUGCUGGAUCUCUUCUGACGCUGAGGCUCGAAAGCUAGGGGAGCAAACAGG
RNAcentral lists this ribosomal RNA (253 nucleotides) under uncultured bacterium. RNAcentral describes it as "partial 16S ribosomal RNA". It matches the Rfam family "Bacterial small subunit ribosomal RNA", at positions 524 to 776 of the family's 1533-position model. The record is from RNAcentral.